UCGCUUCAUUUCGUUCAUUUGAUCCUCAAUCGCUGAUACUCUUUCUUCCAGUUGAUCGAGUCGGUUACUGAAGCUUGUGCAUUUGUCACGUAUUUCUCGUGUCAUGGUUUUCAUCUCUUUCAUUUCGUUUAUGACCUUCUCUGCAAUAAUUACUCUAGCCAUCAAUUCUUCCACUUUUUUUUCAAGAUUUUUAGUUUCUUUGCUUGCACGUAAUUCCUCCUCUAGCUCUGAGAAGUUUGAUGGACUGAAGCCUUCUUCUCUCAUCUUGUCAAAGUCAUUCUCCGUCAAGCUUUGAUCCGUUGCUGGCGAUGAGCUGCGCUCCUUUGCCGGGGAAGAUAUGCUCUUAUUUUUUGAAUUUCCAGCUUUUCUGCCCUGCUUUUUCCCCAUCUUUGUGGUUUUAUCUGCCUCUGGUCUUUGAUGAUGAUGGUGAUGUACUGAUGGGGUUUUGGUGUAGGUGUCCUUCCUGUUUGAUAGUUUUCCUUCUAACAGUCAGGACCCUCAGCUGUAGGUCUGUUGGAGAUUGCUUGAGGUCCACUCCAGACCCUGUUUGCCUGGGUGUCAGCAGCAGAGGCUGCAGAAGAUAGAAUAUUGCUGAACAGCGAGUGUACCUGUCUGAUUCCUUCUUUGGAGGCUUCCUCUCAGGGGUGUACUCCACCCUGUGAGGUGUGGGGUGUCAGACUGCCCCUAGUGGGGGAUGUCUCCCAGUUAGGCUACUCAGGGGUCAGGGACCCACUUGAGCAGGCAGUCUGUCCCUUCUCAGAUCUCAACCUCCGUGUUGGGAGAUCCACUGCUCUCUUCAAAGCUGUCAGACAGAGUCAUUUGCGUCUGCAGAGGUUUCUGCUGCUUUUGGCUUUUGUUGUUGUUUAUUGUGCCUUGUCCCCAGAGGUGGAAUCUACAGAGACAGGCAGGUUUCCUUGAGCUGCUGUGAGCUCCACCCAGUUCCAGCUUCCCAGCGGCUUUGUUUACCUACUUAAGCCUCAGCAAUGGCGGGCGCCCCUCCCCCAGCCUUGCUGCUGCCUUGCCGCGAGAUCGCAGACUGUUGUGCUAGCAAUGAGGGGGGCUCCGUGGGCGUGGGACCCUCCCGGCCAGGUGUGGGAUAUAAUCUCCUGGUGUGCCUGUUUGCUUAAAGCGCAGUAUUGGGGUGGGAAUUACCCGAUUUUCCAGGUGUUGUGUGUCUCAGUUCCCCUGGCUAGGAAAAGGGAUUCCCUUUCCUCUUGCGCUUCCCAGGUGAGGCGGUGCCUCACCCUGCUUCAGCUCUCGCUGGUCGGGCUGCAGCAGCUGAUCAGCACCGAUUGUCCGGCACUCCCUAGUGAGAUGAACCCAGUACCUCAGUUGAAAAUGCAGAAAUCACUGGUCUUCUGUGUCGCUCGCACUGGGAGUUGGAGUCUGGAGCUGUUCCUAUUCGGCCAUCUUGCUCCCAAUCACCUUUACUUCUUACCACAUGCCAAUGCGAUGGUAAACCAUAGAUUCAACUUUAUAAAUGAAGAAUCUGAGGCUUUAAAGUGUAGACAACCUGCCAGGGUCAAACUGCUAAUCAGUGGCAGGGUGGUUCUGUGCAACAGCAAAGCCCACUUUAUUAAAACUACUUCUAUGCUCUCCAAUCAUUUUUUAUUGGGAAACUGUAAUGGUUGAAUAGCAUCCCCUUGCCAAAAUUCACAUCCACCUGGAACCUCAGAAUGUGAUCUUAUUUGGAAAUAGAGUCUUUGCAGAUGUUCUUAGUUAAGGAUCUUGAGAUGAAAUCAUCCUGGAUUUAGGGUGGACUCUGAAUCCAAUCCCUGGUGUUCUCAUAAGGAAAGGAGAGGAGAGGACACAGGGACACACCAACAAGGGGCCAGGUGAAAGUGGAAGCAGAGUGGAGUGGUGCAGCCACGAGCCAAGGAAUGCCAGAAGCCACCGG
Macaca fascicularis (crab-eating macaque) is the source of this 1897-nucleotide long non-coding RNA. The record is from Ensembl. Lineage: Eukaryota; Metazoa; Chordata; Mammalia; Primates; Cercopithecidae.